RNAcentral lists this ribosomal RNA (254 nucleotides) under uncultured bacterium. RNAcentral's name for it is "partial 16S ribosomal RNA". It matches the Rfam family "Bacterial small subunit ribosomal RNA", at positions 524 to 776 of the family's 1533-position model. The record is from RNAcentral.
UACGGAGGAUCCAAGCGUUAUCCGGAUUUAUUGGGUUUAAAGGGUGCGUAGGCGGCUUAUUAAGUCAGGGGUGAAAGACGGUGGCUCAACCAUCGCAGUGCCUUUGAUACUGAUGAGCUUGAUUACACUAGAGGUAGGCGGAAUGAGACAAGUAGCGGUGAAAUGCAUAGAUAUGUCUCAGAACACCGAUUGCGAAGGCAGCUUACUAUGGUGUCAAUGACGCUGAGGCACGAAAGCGUGGGGGAUCAAACAGG